GUUGUUGGGUAGGGGAGCGUUCUGUAAGCCGUCGAAGGUGUGCUGUGAGGCAUGCUGGAGGUAUCAGAAGUGCGAAUGCUGACAUAAGUAACGAUAAAGCGGGUGAAAAGCCCGCUCGCCGGAAGACCAAGGGUUCCUGUUCAACGUUAAUCGGAGCAGGGUGAGUCGACCCCUAAGGCGAGGCCGAAAGGCGUAGUCGAUGGGAAACAGGUUAAUAUUCCUGUACUCGGUGUUACUGCGAAGGGGGGACGGAGAAGGCUAUAUCAGCCGGGCGACGGUUGUCCCGGUUUAAGCGUGUAGGCGGAGGGUCCAGGUAAAUCCGGACGCUUGUUAACGCUGAGGCGUGACGACGAGGCACUACGGUGCUGAAGUGAUAAAUGCCCAGCUUCCAGGAAAAGCCUCUAAGCAUCAGGUAACACAGAAUCGUACCCCAAACCGACACAGGUGGUCAGGUAGAGAAUACCAAGGCGCUUGAGAGAACUCGGGUGAAGGAACUAGGCAAAAUGGUGCCGUAACUUCGGGAGAAGGCACGCUGGCGCGUAGGUGGAGGGACUUGCUCCCCGAGCCGAAGCCAGUCGAAGAUACCAGCUGGCUGCAACUGUUUAUUAAAAACACAGCACUGUGCAAACACGAAAGUGGACGUAUACGGUGUGACGCCUGCCCGGUGCCGGAAGGUUAAUUGAUGGGGUUAUCCG
This 695-nucleotide ribosomal RNA is filed under the name Pantoea agglomerans. RNAcentral describes it as "partial 23S ribosomal RNA". It matches the Rfam family "Bacterial large subunit ribosomal RNA", at positions 1220 to 1896 of the family's 2925-position model. The record is from RNAcentral. Lineage: Bacteria; Pseudomonadati; Pseudomonadota; Gammaproteobacteria; Enterobacterales; Erwiniaceae.